This is a long non-coding RNA of Lontra canadensis (Northern American river otter), 108 nucleotides long. RefSeq lists it as uncharacterized. NCBI's taxonomy places the organism in Eukaryota, Metazoa, Chordata, Mammalia, Carnivora, Mustelidae. The record is from RefSeq and is a predicted model, not a curated record. The transcript has 3 exons.
AGAACACGAACUGGAAGCUUAAUAACUAAUAACUGACAAAGUAUGUAUAAGGCAAAAAGUGCUAUGAAAAAAGAGGGGUGGGGGCGCCUGGGUGGCUCAGUGGGUUAA